Long non-coding RNA from Triticum aestivum (bread wheat), 2135 nucleotides. RefSeq lists it as uncharacterized. The record is from RefSeq and is a predicted model, not a curated record. Lineage: Eukaryota; Viridiplantae; Streptophyta; Magnoliopsida; Poales; Poaceae. The transcript is spliced from 2 exons.
CUUUGCCUUCGCCUCCACUGCCGUCCGCGCCACCGCCCUUUGCCUCCGCCCCCAUCGCCGGUACGUACCGCUGCCCUUUGCUUCCGCCACACCGUCGUUCGCGCCGCCGCACUUUGCCUCCGCCACCACCGCCGUCCACGCCGCCGCACUUUGCCUCCGCCACCACCGCCGUCCGUGCCACCGCCCUUUGACGCCGCCUCCAUAGCCAUACCAGUACGAAAGAAAAAAUAACCUAGCCCCGCCACUUCCUCGCGGCGCUCCGCCCCGCCUCUGGCCACCUCCCCCCACCCCCACCCCCUGCCUCACCGCGCACCCUCAACCGCCCCCUGCCUCCCACCCCGGAGAAAGGUGAGUGCGGCUUCCAAUGGACGGAUCCAGACGGAGGAGGGUUAGGGAGGCGCGCGGAAGACCGACGAGGUUGGGAGGCACUGGAUACAAAGUUCGAGGUGGCGCCAUGGUUGCUCGGUGAGCUCCUGCAAGGGAACAUGGCGGGACGAGAUUUAAAGGGAGGUGUGAGAGAGAAGGGAAAGGGAGCGGCGGCGGAGACUCCGCUGCUCACCAGCGAGUGCGAGGUGUGGGGAAUGUCGAGCGCUGGGGCGCCAUGCGCAGCUGCGGCUGCGGGCGGUUGAAGACGCGGCCUUAGGUGAGCUGUUGUUGCGUUCGUGUGCGAGCGCCGUUCCGUCCGUCGGACUAAGGGAGGGUGGGUUGUGGAGACUUCGGGGUGGCUGGUGGAGGCUUUGGUCUUGUUGCAAGGCCGGAGGAGGCGACAAGUGGCGGCUCGCCAUGGCUGCACUGCACGGGAGCGGAGGCAGGCGUUCGGUGGCCAGUCCGUGUGGAUGCAAAUGAGAUCCAGCCGUGAUGAACAAAUAGCAGCAGACUGUGCUGCUCUUUUCCUCUUAUCUGAAUUUUCUGCAGAUGAGAUCCAGCCAUGAUAAACAAACACCAGCAGGCCGUGGCGUCAUGCUGCUCUCUUAUCUAUCUGAAUUUUCUGCAAUUCAGAGCCACCAAGGAAGAGAUGGACGAGGCCGUGCUGCUCCUUUCAUCUAUCUGAAUUGCUAUAUGAAAAUCUCUGAAUUUCCAAUCUGGUCAAUGUCACCACUCACUCUCAUUUUCAAGCAUAGUAUAUGCGAGGUAUUGUACCAGCCAACAUGAUAUGUGUUGCUUGCAGGAAGAUUAACGAGACGGCCGAUAGAUCGGUUUUGGUGGCAGCGCUGCUUUGGUAUCCCUGCUCCAUGGCAUGUGUUUUUCAUUGCCUCCUCCACGUAGCUCUCCCAGUAACAGUGAAGAUAGCUUGGUGUGGGUAAGGCGAAUCACUUCAAAAAAUUCCCAUAUAUCUCGAGUAACUACAGAAGCAGGUGUGACAACGUUUGUGUGCUCACAAACUACCAAAGCAUAUUCUUCAUUAUAUGCUAGCAAUUUACUCAAAUUAUUAUCUAUUGUAUUAGUAACUUGAGCUUCGCAAUUUGUAUUUGAUGAUUAUGUUUCCCCCCUUUUAAUAUAGAUUUCCCUAUUUACAUUUAUUGCGAAAUUGCAGCUAGAUGUUUCCGCGCCACAACAGGUCCCCUCUAACAUAUUCUUUACGUCCAUUUUACGGAAGAUGUAAGUGUACAGAAAGAUUAACAUGGGUUACUCUUCUUUCAAGGGAGUAGCUACAUAGCUUAUGUAAAUUCUUAAUUGUCAUUUCCUAUUCAUGUACUGGCUGAGUUUUUAUUUAGAAGGUACUUUGUAGUUUCGAUGCAUUGUCGUGGAUUUGCAUUUUCUGAUUAAAAAUUGCCCUUUUAUUUUUUUCCUCUAAAAGGAUGAUUGCCUUUUUGUGAAGACCUUUGUGUUGAUAUUUUAGUUUAUGAUAACAUGUCACAUCAUUAGAGAAAUUUCAUCACUUUUUGCUGGUAUAAUUCUUCAAUAUCAUUUAUACUUCUAUAAAAAUCAUAAGGUGGUCUAGACGAUGAUCAUCAGGAUGCUUGUGUGCCAUAGUUGUCUUCUUAGCCCGGUGCCUUAACUAUUGUCUUGCUUUUUAUCUGCAGCCAUUGCAAUUCUCAAUAAUGCGACUCUUCUGUUCCAUAGUAAAGUUUUAGGUGAUCUGUAAUGAAAACAAAACUGCAGAGGAUAUAAGAAAUAUAUUAUCAUAUUCUUUU